UUCGAGUGGCGGACGGGUGGAGUAACGCGUGGGUAACCUGCCUUACACAGGGGAGUAACACCUGGAAACAGGUGCUAAUACCGCAUAAGCGCACAGGGCCGCAUGGCCCGGUGUGAAAAACUCCGGUGGUGUAAGAUGGACCCGCGUCUGAUUAGCUUGUUGGCGGGGUAGAGGCCCACCAAGGCGACGAUCAGUAGCCGGCCUGAGAGGGUGGACGGCCACAUUGGGACUGAGACACGGCCCAAACUCCUACGGAAGGCAGCAG
RNAcentral lists this ribosomal RNA (265 nucleotides) under uncultured bacterium. RNAcentral's name for it is "partial 16S ribosomal RNA". It matches the Rfam family "Bacterial small subunit ribosomal RNA", at positions 90 to 354 of the family's 1533-position model. The record is from RNAcentral.